Molecule: ribosomal RNA, 495 nt
Filed under: uncultured bacterium
Lineage: Bacteria
Description: partial 16S ribosomal RNA
Rfam family: Bacterial small subunit ribosomal RNA
Source: RNAcentral
GACGAACGCUGGCGGCGUGCCUAAUACAUGCAAGUAGAACGCUGAAGGAGGAGCUUGCUCUUCUGGAUGAGUUGCGAACGGGUGAGUAACGCGUAGGUAACCUGCCUGGUAGCGGGGGAUAACUAUUGGAAACGAUAGCUAAUACCGCAUAAGAGUAGAUGUUGCAUGACAUUUACUUAAAAGGUGCAAUUGCAUCACUACCAGAUGGACCUGCGUUGUAUUAGCUAGUUGGUGGGGUAACGGCUUACCAAGGCGACGAUACAUAGCCGACCUGAGAGGGUGAUCGGCCACACUGGGACUGAGACACGGCCCAGACUCCUACGGGAGGCAGCAGUAGGGAAUCUUCGGCAAUAGACGGAAGGCUGACCGAGCAACGCCGCGUGAGUGAAGAAGGUUGUCGGAUCGUAAAGCUCUGUUGUAAGAGAAGAACGAGUGUGAGAGUGGAAAGUUCACACUGUGACGGUAUCUUACCAGAAAGGGACGGCUAACUACGUG